AUACGGAGGGUGCGAGCGUUGUUCGGAAUUACUGGGCGUAAAGGGCGCGUAGGCUGUUUAUCAAGUCGGGUGUGAAAGUCCACGGCUCAACCGUGGAAGUGCAUCCGAAACUGAUAGACUUGAGUACUGGAGAGGAAAGUGGAAUUCCUGGCGUAGAGGUGAAAUUCGUAGAGAUCAGGAGGAACACCGGUGGCGAAGGCGACUUUCUGGACAGAUACUGACGCUGAGGCGCGAAAGCGUGGGGAGCAAACAGGAUUAGAAACCCCGGUAGUCC
Molecule: ribosomal RNA, 274 nt
Filed under: uncultured bacterium
Lineage: Bacteria
Description: partial 16S ribosomal RNA
Rfam family: Bacterial small subunit ribosomal RNA
Source: RNAcentral